Molecule: long non-coding RNA, 408 nt
Organism: Ipomoea triloba (trilobed morning glory)
Lineage: Eukaryota; Viridiplantae; Streptophyta; Magnoliopsida; Solanales; Convolvulaceae
Exons: 2
Source: RefSeq, a predicted model, not a curated record
AUAUAAAGACGGUAUUUGUUGUGGAAGAUCAAAUUAUUGUUGCCCUAGAGAAUUUCCAAUUUGCGAUCCAUUUGAAGGGCUUUGCUUCAAGAGACAUGGAGACCAUAUUGGAGUGCCUGGACGGAAGAGAAAACUUGCCAAGCCUAAAUAGUCAAAAGCAACACCGAAAAUGGAAGAAGAAUGAACUAGUUUGCUGCGUAUCGAUGGUCAUGUAAUUAUUAUGGACUCUCAAUUGCCCUCAAGUUGUUUGAUCCACAUAAAUAAGCCAAGAUACUUGUGCAUUUUGGAGUAUUAUUCAAAUCAUAUCUGGCAAGCGAGAUUGUUCAUUGUUUAUAAUUUUGUUUGGCAAGCUAGAGGGAAAAGAUUGUUCAUUAUUUAUUAUUCAAUAACUUUAAUUUUUGCCAUGAA